AACGCGAAGAACCUUACCUACCCUUGACAUGUCAAGAAUUCUGCAGAGAUGUGGAAGUGCUCGAAAGAGAACUUGAACACAGGUGCUGCAUGGCCGUCGUCAGCUCGUGUCGUGAGAUGUUGGGUUAAGUCCAGCAACGAGCGCAACCCUUGUCAUUAGUUGCUACGAAAGGGCACUCUAAUGAGACUGCCGGUGACAAACCGGAGGAAGGUGGGGAUGACGUCAGGUCCUCAUGGCCCUUAUGGGUAGGGCUACACACGUCAUACAAUGGCCGGUACAGAGGGCUGCCAACCCGCGAGGGGGAGCCAAUCCUAGAAAACCGGUCGUAGUCCGGAUCGCAGUCUGCAACUCGACUGCGUGAAGUCGGAAUCGCUAGUAAUCGCGGAUCAGCUUGCCGCGGUGAAUACG
This 408-nucleotide ribosomal RNA is filed under the name uncultured Aquabacterium sp. RNAcentral's name for it is "bacterial SSU rRNA". It matches the Rfam family "Bacterial small subunit ribosomal RNA", at positions 958 to 1370 of the family's 1533-position model. Lineage: Bacteria; Pseudomonadati; Pseudomonadota; Betaproteobacteria; Burkholderiales; Sphaerotilaceae. The record is from RNAcentral.